CGUAGGUGGCAAGCGUUGUCCGGAUUUACUGGGCGUAAAGCGAACGCAGGCGGACACUUAAGUAGGAAGUGAAAGGUUGGAGCUCAACUCCGGCACUGCUCCCUAUACUGGGUGUCUUGAGUCUUGGAGAGGAAAGCGGAACGACACGUGUAGCGGUGAAAUGCGUUGAUAUGUGUCGGAACACCGAUGGCGAAAGCAGCUUUCUGGACAAGUACUGACGCUGAGGUUCGAAAGCCAAGGGAGCGAACAGGAUUAGAUACCCUGGUAGUCUUGGCCAUAAACGAUGUUCACUAGGUGUCGGGGCUUUGCUUCGGUGCCGCAGCUAACGCAUUAAGUGAACCGCCUGGGAACUACGAUCGCAAGAUUA
This 367-nucleotide ribosomal RNA is filed under the name uncultured organism. RNAcentral describes it as "bacterial SSU rRNA". It matches the Rfam family "Bacterial small subunit ribosomal RNA", at positions 526 to 896 of the family's 1533-position model. The record is from RNAcentral.